AAACUCGUGAAUCUGCUCAAUAUGCGCGUGCGCGAGAUUUGAAAUUUCGUAUUUAAAAUUGCAUUUUCUGACGUUCGACUCAUAAGGCAUUGCGGCUUGCGGCUUCGAACAACGAACAUUGCCGCUGGCAGGUCGUCAAUGUCUGGAUGCUGCAUUUUUACGGCAGUAUAUUCUCAAAAUAUGUCAAAAACCCAUUAAAUUUUCAGGCAAAAGGAAUUAAGGUAUAAAAAGCGUUGUUAAAAAAAUUUGCGACAAGUGCAGAGUUAACACGGAUCGGCGUCCUUACUAUAAUUCCGUAUCUUGGUGUUUUGGUUCUUUAAGCGAUAUAUACCCGAAACCUGCUAAUUUUUCCAGAAUUUGUGCCAGCAAAUCGCCGCAAACAGUUUCUUUUUAUAAACUUAUUGAAAAUGUAAAUAAUGUCGAAUUCAUGAAAUGUGUAAAAGUGUAAAUAUAACUUUGAGGUGCUAGAUAUCGCACUGGAAACAUCGUUGAAAAAAUGUUCAACAAGCACCUCGUAUAGACAGAACGCACAUUCUCUCAUCGCAAGUCUAAAAUGCUCGAGAUUUUUUAAAAGUAUGCACACUCCAGACGGGUUUUGCAGACAAGAUUGCGGUUUAUGCCACAACUAUGACUUACCUUUAAUUACAAUAGCAUUUUAUAUAGUGUUUUAUUAACUUGUUUUGAAGUUCACAGAAGAUAUAGUGGCAUUGGUGAAUGAACACAAUAAUGUAAAAAUAUAAAUGAAUAAAUACAUGAAUUAUUUAAUAAGGCCUUUAUUGAAAAGAAUAAAAUAGAUUGUUGCUUAUAAACACAAUAAGAAAUUAAAUAGCAUAUUUAUUUUUUAUUUGCACAAUGGCGUUCUACAGAAGAUGCUUCAGUGUUACUCUUUUCAAGGAACUCUUUUAUUACUUGAUUUGGGAGGAUCACCACCUUUGAAAAUUGCAAAAAAUGUUCACUUAUAAUAUAUUAAACUAUUAUUAAUUAUUAGUAGAAUAACUAAAGCACAAUUUUCAUUAACUGUAAAUUCAAAACAAAAAUUUAAUCUGAAGCACUUUACUUGACAAUAUGUUACUAUGCCUUAACUGAUGACUGGUGGUUAUUCUGUGUUCCGACUACCACUGAAGAUUGAAGAUCUGCUGGUGUCUGCUGUCGUUUUAUCUAGCAAAGAAAUUAUUAUUUUGACUUGUUGGAAAUAAAGUCGAAAAACGCCCCCCUAUCAACAAAAAUUUCCCUUAUGUUCAAGAAACAAAAUUGUUAGUCAAAAUUAUGCAUUAAAAUAUCAUUAUUUAGACUGAAAAAAAAUUGAUAAACCAACAAAAUAAUAUUGAGGAGGAAUGUGGAAUUAUUUGAUAAAUUUUAACAAUCGGAUUUGAAAAAAAAGGUACCAUUUGGCACUCUAAAUAUGGGUUGCUAAGUUUCAUCAGCAAAUAGAAUGACCGAAAAACAAACCAAUUUACA
Long non-coding RNA from Cylas formicarius (sweet potato weevil), 1458 nucleotides. RefSeq lists it as uncharacterized. The transcript has 3 exons. NCBI's taxonomy places the organism in Eukaryota, Metazoa, Arthropoda, Insecta, Coleoptera, Brentidae. The record is from RefSeq and is a predicted model, not a curated record.